RNAcentral lists this ribosomal RNA (773 nucleotides) under uncultured bacterium. RNAcentral's name for it is "bacterial SSU rRNA". It matches the Rfam family "Bacterial small subunit ribosomal RNA", at positions 28 to 794 of the family's 1533-position model. The record is from RNAcentral.
GAUGAACGCUAGCGGCAGGCUUAACACAUGCAAGUCGAGGGGUAGAGGCCUCGGGACUUGAGACCGGCGCACGGGUGCGUAACGCGUAUGCAAUCUGCCUUCCACAGAGGGAUAGCCCAGAGAAAUUUGGAUUAAUACCUCAUAGCAUCAUGACCCGGCAUCGGGAUAUGAUUAAAGUCACAACGGUGGAAGAUGAGCAUGCGUCCCAUUAGCUAGUUGGUAAGGUAACGGCUUACCAAGGCUACGAUGGGUAGGGGUCCUGAGAGGGGAGAUCCCCCACCACAUGGUACUGAGACACGGACCAGACUCCUACGGGGAGGCAGCAGUGAGGAAUAUUGGUCAAUGGGCGCAAGCCUGAACCAGCCAUGCCGCGUGCAGGAUGACGGUCCUAUGGAUUGUAAAACUGCUUUUGUACGGGAAGAAACCCUCCUACGUGUAGGAGCUUGACGGUACCGUAAGAAUAAGGAUCGGCUAACUCCGUGCCAGCAGCCGCGGUAAUACGGAGGAUCCAAGCGUUAUCCGGAAUCAUUGGGUUUAAAGGGUCUGUAGGCGGUCUUGUAAGUCAGUGGUGAAAGCCCAUCGCUCAACGGUGGAACGGCCAUUGAUACUGCUGGACUUGAAUUAUUGGGAAGCAACUAGAAUAUGUAGUGUAGCGGUGAAAAUGCUUAGAGAUUACAUGGAAUACCAAUUGCGAAGGCAGGUUGCUACCAAUGGAUUGACGCUGAUGGACGAAAGGCGUGGGGUAGCGAACAGGGAUUAGAUACCCUGGUAGU